This is a non-coding RNA of Glycine soja, 107 nucleotides long. The record is from Rfam. Lineage: Eukaryota; Viridiplantae; Streptophyta; Magnoliopsida; Fabales; Fabaceae.
CUUGAAUAAUUGGAUCUGGGUCUGAAAAACUCAAAGAUUGAGUGUUGUCAUCAGCUUCAUCUCUUGUUUAACCCACGAGAUAGGAGUUAAAUAACAGCACUACAUAU